AUGUAUGGCGAGUCUAGCAAACAUGAAAACCUUGAGUGCAUACUACAAGAUCAAAGUGCAAACCCAAGUGUUGUAUCACUGAAUUUUUUGAAAGAGAUCACAAACAACUUUUCCGAUGAGCGAGUACUCGGUAAAGGUGGUUCUAGUGUGGUAUAUAAGGGUGUGCUACAAAGUGGGGAAAUAAUCGCUGUGAAGAGACUUGAGCCAUCAAUGGCUGGUUCUCAGAGUUUAUUUCAGAACGAGGUUGAUCAUCUUAUGAGGCUUCAACACCCAAAUAUUGUGCGAUUUCGGGGCUACUGCCAUGAAACAGUGUGGUUAUAUACAGAAUUCGAAGGGCAAAAAGUUUUUGCUGAGAUCUCAGAAAUGUUGCUUUGCUUUGAGUAUCUCCCUAAAGGAAGCCUUGAUGUGCAUCUUUCAGGUGGAUCCUCUGAAUUUGAUUGGCACACGCGCUACAAAAUAAUCGAGGGGAUUUGCAAUGGCUUACACUAUCUUCACGACCAAAUUGAUAAGUCUAUUCUUCACUUGGACCUAAAGCCCGCGAACAUAUUGCUUGAUGACAAUUUGGCACCCAAAAUUACAGAUUUUGGGCUGUCAAGACAGUUUGAUCAGCGUCAAACUAUGUCCUCUCCAAAUCGUGUUGGUACAUUAGGCUACAUGGCUCCGGAACGCAUCGAUGAAGGCAUAAUCACACCUAAGUCAGACAUAUUCAGUUUGGGUGUGAUAAUAAUGGAGAUAAUAACGGGACACAGGCACUACCCAGGUGUUUCUGGAACAUCUUCCGAGGACUUUAUUGAGCUUGAACUUAAAAAAUGGAGAAACACAUUGGAGAAAGCACAGGGGUACACAAAUCUAGAAAUGGAUUGCGAACAGAUAAAAAGAUGCAUUCAGAUAGGUCUAAUCUGUGUGAAUCCUGAGUGGACCGAAAGGCCUACAACAACAAAAAUUAUCAAGAUGCUUCAAGGAUUGGAAAGUUUGGAUCGUAACAUUAGCGAUGAGGUAGAGUCAUCGGCAGAUCAGAUCUCAAAUGGACUCAAAAAGCACAGCGAUUGCUUUGGGGUUACUGAAGAAGGAAAGCUGUCUCCUAAAAAUACAUUAUGUAUUGGGAUAUUGGAGCAAGCUGAAAGAAGGGAACCAGAACUUGGGGAAGCAUCGGUUUCUCUUGCAAUGGCUGGUGACUGCCUACAUGGAAAGUUGUUGUACCUUGAAAACCGAGUUGCUUUGGCGAUGAUAUUGUUCCCAGCCGAGGCAAGAGUAGCAAUGGAAGUUGCUCAAGUGAAUGGUACUUUGGAAUUUACCCUUGGUUCUAGUGCAAAUCCACUUACGGAGAUACAACGGACAACCUUUGAUCUAAAUGAAACUCCUUUCAAAAUGAAGGAUGUGUACUUAGCUCGGAUGAGAGUGCUCUCCAAAACAGUUGAACUUGGCAAACGCUUCUUCCCGCGUUGUUCGGAUGUGCUGGAGAAGAUGAUGGAUGAUGAACCAGGGCUGGCUGCCCUCGGAAGCGAUUACAACCUCUGA
This 1518-nucleotide ribosomal RNA is filed under the name Triticum aestivum (bread wheat). RNAcentral describes it as "partial small subunit ribosomal RNA". The record is from RNAcentral. Lineage: Eukaryota; Viridiplantae; Streptophyta; Magnoliopsida; Poales; Poaceae.